ACAUCUUUUGCCAUCGAUUCGUAACCUACGUCGAAAUUAAGAGUAAAUGAAUUUCUUCGUCUUGGUUACGAGUGUUCAAGCAAUUUAUGUAUUCAACAAUCUCAAGUUUUUUUACGUAAGAAUCUAACAUGGCGAUCCAAUGGCCUGAUUUCGAAUCUUUGUCUUCUGUUCACGUCUUUCCCUGGGAUUUCAAUGAGAGCCAUGCUUGGGCGUGCGUCGCGCUGCUGGCAGUCCUCUACGCCUUUCGUGCAUUCUGGAAUUACUUCAGGACCGUUAAAUUCAUCCUGACAUAUUUAAACGGCCCCCCGGCAUUGCCUUUGGUAGGGAACUGCCGUCUUGUCACAGAUAAAGAUCUUUUGCAGCGUAUGUCUCAUACGAGGUACGACAUGUACGGUACCAUCUUCAGGAUAUGGCUGACGGUGUUCCCGGUGGUGAUCCUCCUCGAGCCGGCCGACAUUCAGGUGGUACUUGGCAGCACCAAGCACUUGGAGAAGAACGUCUUCUACAGUUUUUUACACAAUCUGGUCGGCGAUGGAUUGGUACUGAGUGAUGUUGACCGUUGGAAAAUUCAUCGGAAAAUCCUUCAACCAGCUUUCAAUUUGAAUAUUCUUAACCGGUUUACCGACACUUUUAUCGAUGGUGCCAACCGCCUAAUCCGGAAGCUCAUGAAUUCUGCCGAGAAGAAUAUCGAUCUGACCAAGUUCGUGAACGACUCGGUCGUCAACAUUCUGAACGAGAUCGUUUUUGGCGUGACUAUGGCUUCCAAAGAGCAGAGGCAGACGGAAGACGAAGAAUCACCCUUCAGAAAGGGUCAAUUAACGGCUCUGUAUCGUCUGAUGCGUCCGUGGCUCUGGGUGAACCGGAUCUACGAGAUGACAGCCGCCGCAAAACGUGAAAAGGCCUUUCACGCAGAGCUCCUUACGAUCUGCAAGAAGAUGAUGGACGAGAGGCGAGAAGUUAUCGGGAAGACGAAGCCGGAUGUGAAUCACGAGGUUGACGAUUCCCAGCGGAGGACGUCCAUCUUGGAAUUCAUGAUCGAAGCAAGUGAGAAAAAUCCGAGCAUUACGGAGAACGACAUCCUCAACGAGUGCUGCGCGUUCAUGCUCGUCGGCCAGGAUGCCGUCGCCUUUGCAAUUACCAUCACGAUGUUUCUUCUUGCGGCGCACCCCGAGUGGCAGCAGAGGUGCGUUCAAGAGCUGGAGGAUAUCUUCGAGGGUGACUCAAGAUCACCGACGACGGAUGAUCUUAGGAAGAUGCGCUGCCUCGAGAUGUGCAUAAAAGAGUCGCUGAGACUCUAUCCGAGCGUUCCGGUCUUCGGUAGAAAGUUGAGAGAGGACACCAAAGUUGGAAAUUACGUGAUCCCUGCAGGAUGCGAAGUUAUGUUUCUCCCCUACGUCACCCACCGACUACCACAUUUCUAUCCAGAUCCCCACACCUUCGAUCCGACGAGAUUCGACCCUGACAGCAAUGAAAAUAGACACCGCUAUGCCUAUUUCCCUUUCAGCGCGGGGCCGAGGAACUGUAUCGGGUAUAAGUUCGCGACGUUGGAAAUGAAGGCUUUGAUCAGCGUAGUCCUUCGGAACUUUCAUCUUAGUACGGUACCAGGGAAGGACGAGUUACGGCUGAAGUACAGGAUCACUUUGAGGGCUCAAGGCGGUGUCUGGGUUAAUUUAAGACCGAGAUAUUGAAAUUCGUGUGAAUUGGACGAGGUGUUGGGAUGACUUUAUUAUCGGACAACGCGUCGCACCCUGCUCGACGACUUCCGGUCACAUCGAUGCACCGCACGUAAGUUUUGUGCCACAUUGUACGUACGAGAGAUUUGCACCGUGCCACAUGCGCGAUCGCGACGAAAAAGGAAAAGGAAGAGAAACGGAGUUGAGAGAAGAAAAAAAAAAAACGGAAUCACAGGUAAGAUGAAUUAAAAAAAUAUUAAAAAUAGGAAAGAGCCUGGAAGAAUAAAGCAGCGGUCACAGUUAUGUAAAGAAUUUUUCCAUCUAUGCACGGUUGCUGUAGGCAAAAUCUUGAACCUGGAACUAAUCCGUUGCUGAACGGCACGUGAACGUUCCUUAGGGUACGUGGUGUACAUCAUAUAUCUAUGUAUAUAAACAUAUUUAUAUUUAUAUAUAUAUAUAUAUACCUGGGUCCAACGAUUCUUAACUGCGCAGUUAAAGUUUUGCCGGUUUAUAAUAUAGA
This 2193-nucleotide unclassified non-coding RNA is filed under the name Neodiprion pinetum (white pine sawfly). RNAcentral describes it as "probable cytochrome P450 4aa1, transcript variant X8". Lineage: Eukaryota; Metazoa; Arthropoda; Insecta; Hymenoptera; Diprionidae. The record is from RNAcentral.